RNAcentral lists this ribosomal RNA (235 nucleotides) under Bacillus sp. (in: firmicutes). RNAcentral describes it as "Bacillus sp. (in: Bacteria) partial 16S ribosomal RNA". It matches the Rfam family "Bacterial small subunit ribosomal RNA", at positions 567 to 797 of the family's 1533-position model. Lineage: Bacteria; Bacillati; Bacillota; Bacilli; Caryophanales; Bacillaceae. The record is from RNAcentral.
GCUCCGCAGGCGGUUUCUUAAGUUCUGAUGUGAAAGCUCCCGGCUCAACCGGGGAGGGUCAUUUGGAAACUGGGAAACUUGAGUGCAGAAGAGGAGAGUGGAAUUCCACGUGUAGCGGUGAAAUGCGUAGAGAUGUGGAGGAACACCAGUGGCGAAGGCGACUCUCUGGUCUGUAACUGACGCUGAUGAGCGAAAGCGUGGGGAUCGAACAGGAUUAGAUCCCGCCGUUAGUCCA